Molecule: long non-coding RNA, 282 nt
Filed under: Arachis ipaensis
Lineage: Eukaryota; Viridiplantae; Streptophyta; Magnoliopsida; Fabales; Fabaceae
Description: long non-coding RNA (AIPA_LNC001298)
Source: RNAcentral
UCCUUCAUUCUCCUCAUAUUAAAGAAAGAAAACCCUAGCUACCCUCCACAGUCGCCGAACGGAGUGAGUGAGCCAUUGCCACCGUCCGUGGUUGUCCGAGGCUUCUCUCUUCUUCCUCGCUCGGCGUCCAUCAUCCAUCGUCUUCGUCCUGCGCGCCGUCGUCUCGUCGCCGUUUCGUUUAUAACAAAAAAAAAAAAAAACAAAGCUUCGGUAGCGCUGAGAGCCCCUUGCCCCCUUCUCUCCUUCUUCACUCUCCAGAACUCAACUCAACGUCAAGGCCUC